Amphiprion ocellaris (clown anemonefish) is the source of this 1105-nucleotide long non-coding RNA. The record is from Ensembl. NCBI's taxonomy places the organism in Eukaryota, Metazoa, Chordata, Actinopteri, Pomacentridae.
GGUCCGUGAACGCAGCAGGACCGCAGCUGCUGCUGAUGAUGUCAUGAGGGGUAUAAAAGGAACGGCUGCAUCUCCCGUUUCAUUCACCUGUUCACUAAUCUGAGCCAGGCAGUGAUCCAGCAGACGGAACCAUGAAGAAGAUGUGCAUCGCGUACCUCGGAGUUCUCCUGCUGGCUCUGCAUCUCUCCUCACAGGUGGUUCGGGCGCAGACCGAUGCCGUGACGACCGCGGACGCGACUGUGUCAAGCAGCACGAUGUCCGUGAACUCCACCAACGCAACCUCGGUGUCACCGGACAACGGCUCCGGCAGCACCGCGUCCUGCACGCUGCUGCUCCCGCUGGCUCUGGCGGCUUCUCUGCUCCACGACUGGUCCUAACGAGCGGACGGCUCUAACCGGACACAUAACGGCCAACACGGGUGGACUGGGGCCGCAGCGGUAGCCUAUUCCAAGAGCAGUCCUUUAAAAUGAUCCCUUCUAAUCAAACGCGUUUGGAUUUCACCAAAGAUUAUUAUUAUUUUUUUUUUUUUUUCUGUCCUCGGUGGGGGAAAUUGUAACAGGAGCGCGCACCGAGUGCAGUCUCCAUUACGCACCAGCCUGGGACGCGCCCUGCUGCUUUACGUCGUUCUGUCCCGUUCUUUGCAAGCGCCCUUCGUGGACUGAAAAUUCCCAUUGUUCUGGGAAACACCGGUCUCUUGGCUGAGGCAGCUGGCUUCUAUGGGGGUGGGAGGAAAGACGGGUAACUUGUGCCCACUGUGCGCUCUAAAAACGAUACUUGAUACCGGAUUCGUUAGGCCUAAAGGUGAUUGUAAGCGAACUUAGAAAAAAUUUGUACCAAAAAAUGAUGGCAAUGUGAAAUGUACUUUUAGACCUUGGAUUUUGUAAGUUCAAUAAAGCUUUAAGCUGUUGGUGACCUGAUGACUUUGCCAGUUUUUCUGAGUUGCAGUGGAUUUCUUGGUAAAAUCUUUGAAGUUGAAAUAACUGUGGAUCCCCUGACUCAACAGCCUCUAUUUGUGGGUGAGAUGAAGGUGUCCUGAGCCAUUAAACCUCUAAACUGUACAGGGGUGUAUAUAAAGAAGGUAGGUCAGCUCUGAACAGAAAAUCAG